CGGAUUGUAGGCUGCAACUCGCCUACAUGAAGUCGGAAUCGCUAGUAAUCGCGGAUCAGCUCUGCCGCGGUGAAUACGUUCCCGGGCCUUGUACACACCGCCCGUCACACCACGAGAGUUUGUAACACCCGAAGUCGGUGAGGUAACCUUUUGGAGCCAGCCGCCUAAGGUGGGAUAGAUGAUUGGGGUGAAGUCGUAACAAGGUAACCGUAA
This 213-nucleotide ribosomal RNA is filed under the name uncultured bacterium. RNAcentral's name for it is "partial 16S ribosomal RNA". It matches the Rfam family "Bacterial small subunit ribosomal RNA", at positions 1294 to 1505 of the family's 1533-position model. The record is from RNAcentral.